UUUUAAUUUGCGUUAGGGAUUGCAGUGGAAAUCCUUUUUUGUUUUUUCUUUAAAAACAAAAAAGAUUGAAACGAAAAGCCCGACCCCUU
This 89-nucleotide small RNA is filed under the name Flavobacterium branchiophilum. Its description in RNAcentral is "Flavo-1 RNA". It matches the Rfam family "Flavo-1 RNA". Lineage: Bacteria; Pseudomonadati; Bacteroidota; Flavobacteriia; Flavobacteriales; Flavobacteriaceae. The record is from Rfam by way of RNAcentral.